Musa acuminata AAA Group (dessert banana) is the source of this 3014-nucleotide long non-coding RNA. RefSeq lists it as uncharacterized. The transcript has 4 exons. The record is from RefSeq and is a predicted model, not a curated record. NCBI's taxonomy places the organism in Eukaryota, Viridiplantae, Streptophyta, Magnoliopsida, Zingiberales, Musaceae.
UGUUUCUGCUUUUAUUGUACUCUUUUAAUUUCGAAUCUGGCUGGCGUUCAUGCAUGUAGUGCUAGUAUUUGUUAAGUUGUCAAUGCUGACACAAUUGUCAAAACAUUGUCUAGGAAAUUUAUAUAAGUUCUGCAACUUUGUUUUAACUUUCCCAUUCAGAAACUAAAGGGGAUGAAAGACCUCCAUUGCAACCUUAAUGUUGAACACUGUUGUCAUCUUUUUGGGCUCGUAUCACUUCAGGCUUUCCAGCACUGGAUAUGAUUCUACCAUCUAUGCUCAUCAAACCUUCAAGAAGUUGAUUAAGCUUAAUGCCAAAUUCUCCUCACAUUUUAUCAUGCGGUAUCUCCAGUCUCCACCAACUCUUUUGACAAUCCAAUUGAAAUCUCUCUAGACGUUCAGCGAUAAAGGCCAUUUGUUUAUGAUCACAUGAAAGUGCCAGACCAUGAAAUGUAUCUUUUGCCCCUGAACUUAACCUGAGCUUGAUAAUAGAAUGGUUUGACAGGGAAGGGGACAUGCAGAUUCCAUUCCACGUGAAGUGGGUCCUGGGUGGAAUCAGCAAGUGUUUGAUUAAGAUGGAUGAGUCCCAAAUCCUUAGGUAUGACUCACGUGUCUAGACUCAAAACAGGGUUCAACAAGAAUCUCAUCACUGCUAAUCCCUUGUUAACUCCAUAUGUGAGGAAAAUUUCAAACCCUUAUCCCAAUCAAGAAAGGUGUGGUGUGCCUCACAACAAACAAAAGGACAUGAGUGCUGUUUCGGUUGGAUUCAUGAGCAUGAGUGUUGGAGUUGAUCCAUUGCCCCAUGUGAAUCCUACGAUAUAUUAUGGACAGAAGAUUGAUCUCAGAUAUCAUACAUCCAACUUAUAUGUGCUAAAUAGCCUCCAAAAGAGACAGAUAGGUCUGUACUAUAUAGGAAUAACUUCUUAAGGACCCUAUCAAGUUUCACUAGCUGCCAUGUAUCACUCUGCUGCAUAUUUCUUGUAAUCAGAAUUCCAUAUUAUGAUUAUACCCAUCCAGUUACAUGUAAAUCCAAUGAUUUGAUGUGAUUUUUGUCAACCACCAAGUAUGAAUGUGGAGAAUCUCGUUUUUACUUUCACAUGAGAGAUUAGCUUUUUCCAUAAUAAUUCCGCUCUUCAUCUUGUGAUUUUGUUUCCAAUAAUAUUUUUAAAUGAUUUGUUCAGAAUAAUGUAACAUAUAGCCAGUUUGAUUAAUCUUUAUAUACUUAUACACCGGGGCAAACAAAAGAACUAGUCGGAGAACAUGCUAAUGAUAAAGACAGAAAUUCUAGAAAAAGAAAAGACAUUUAUCAUGGGCAAUGAUCAGGUUGAGAUGGAGCGUGGGAAGAUGCUGAGAACCACCAAGGAGUCAAAAGAAGUGCUGCACUGUGGAUAAGGUUGAGUCUCUGGGUCCUCUCACAACUGAUUGAUCUUUGGCUUUCUCCAAAAGCCAAACAAUGCUUCAAAAGUCAUACACUAACUCCACUGUCAUAUAGGUUAUCUUUGUUAUGCAGGAAUCAAGUGCAGGAGCCAGGUUUGGCCCCAUCUUUCCUAUAGUUUGACAUCUCACACAGGCUACUGAAUGUUGACUAGUAUAUGUGUGUCUAUUAUAUGUUUUAAUGAGAAUAAUAGACUCUUUUUUGUCAGUCCUCUGGUAUGUGCAUCUAAACUGUACUAAUGCAUUUUAUUAGGCCAGUUGGUUCUAACAUGGCAAUCUGCCAACCAGAGCCAGGCAUUGGGCUGGUGGUUGAUUCCCCUUCUUCCCUAUAGGAAGACCUGAGUAAUACUUUUGCUUGAGACUGCAUAUAGGACUGCUUGGUUAGGUGAUAAAGAUGACAGAGAUAUGCACAACAAAUGCAUAAGAAGUGUCCACAUAAAGUGCUAUCUGUUAUUUUCCAUGAUUUUGAAGUGGAUAGUAUGCUUUUUCUGUAGUUGAGUUAAUAUGCCAUUUUUCUUCCAUACAAGUGUCAAAAACCCAAUGAAGAAUGGGACUGUUUCUUAGUGCAUUUCUAUGAGCAUAUAUUCUAUGUUUAUCCAUCAUUAUUGUGUUUGGCAAAUUAACUUUUGAACCUGGAACUACUGCACUUUGUUCAAGAAUGAGUUUAUUUCCUGAACAACAAUGGAAAGUCUUCGAUUUACUGAUUGAUCAUCCUCAGUCAUCUUUGGUUGGUUACAGAAGGAUGCUGAUGAAUGAAUUUGUCGGAAGCGGUGUUACUGCUGAGAACUAUGGACAGAGGUGGUAAACAGUGGAAGAGGAUAAAUAUGCCUGUGGCACUAAUAGAUCUGUGGCUGACCAAGAGUGAUGUUGACCAUGGAGGAAAGUGAUCCCGAGCUUGCAGAGCAAGUCUCAACAUGUCCAUUAACAUGACAAAGGUGCAUUCGCAAUGUUUUCUAACUUGUUAUGUUUCUUGUUCUCUUUCCUUUUGUUAAUUUUCCAGACAGGAAUAAAUAAAAGCAAAGUUUCCAUUUGUAUCUGCCUCUUUUUGUGGAUCAAAGAAGUCUUAAAGUUCCAAAGGUAGAUUACUAAGCUACGAUAGCCUCGGAUGUUCUGCUCCUUUAGUGGUCACUCAUUCAUGUCUCCUACUUCACUAAAAAAGAUGGAAGCACUUGCUUGCAGACUAAUGGUGUGGAAAUGGAGAAGAUGAGGGGAGAGGCUGAGCUGUUCUUGGACAGCACAAUGUCCACUCUCUCCUGUUCAUGUGGAAUCUGAAUCCAACCUAUCAAUCAAAGUCAGAUGAAAGAUAUUGUGGUCGCAAGCAAAGAUAAAAUGGUGGUCCAAAUCAAAAGCCUUCUUCUACCUUCCAUGCACAGCUUGAGCUUUGUUAGGGGUUGACCGCAAGUACCAACAGAAGAAGAUAAGUCUUCACAGCAUGUGCAUGCACAUACUAUUAAUGAUGUUACCAAGAAUUGAAGUAAAAUGCAACUAAUAAUGUUACUAAAAUCUUAACAUUAUCUUUCAUGUGCAAAUCGGAUUAGAUACAUUAGUUUAGUAAUUAAUUUGUAUCUUAAAUGUUUUUUUGA